Pteronotus mesoamericanus is the source of this 191-nucleotide small nuclear RNA. RefSeq annotates it as U2 spliceosomal RNA. The transcript has a single exon. The record is from RefSeq and is a predicted model, not a curated record. NCBI's taxonomy places the organism in Eukaryota, Metazoa, Chordata, Mammalia, Chiroptera, Mormoopidae.
AUGACUUCUCAGACUUUUGGCUCAGAUCAAAUGUAGUAUCUGUUCUUAUCAGUUUAAUAUCUGAUACAUCCUCUAUCUGAGGACAUUAUAUUACAUGGAAUUUUGAAACUGGGAAAUGGAAUAGGAGUUUGCUUAGUCCACUCCAUGCAUUGACCAGGUACUGCAGCACUUCUGGGAAUGGUGCACUGGUG